RNAcentral lists this long non-coding RNA (3414 nucleotides) under Gallus gallus (chicken). RNAcentral's name for it is "lncRNA (ENSGALG00010014146.1)". Lineage: Eukaryota; Metazoa; Chordata; Aves; Galliformes; Phasianidae. The record is from RNAcentral.
UUUAAAACAGAUAUGUUUUCCACUAACUUAGGGAACAUCAAGAAAAUUCAUAUUAAAACACGUAUUUGUUAAUAUUCCUGUUCUCUACAUUUUCUGUUCAAAGUGAAGACUAUACAUACCUACAUAUGCAAGUGUAUCUACUUUGGAUCAUUUUCAUUGGUGCGCUCUCCUGAUAAGCAAGCUUGACAAUGGAACAUUUGCUCAUUUUCAGUGUGAGCAAAAGGCUAAAGGCUGCAUAAAUUCCUGGAAUAUUGAGAGUAAAACUGAAAGAAGAAUCCAUUACAAGAUGGGAUGAGAAAAGUUUGGUCCUUUGAGGUUUAGCUUCGAAGUUUGAAUACAAUAAAGAUAACGAAGAAAAAGACAAAUGUAGUUGUGUCAACAGCCUGAGAGAAGGAUUCAGAAUAUGAUCCUUUUCUCUCUCAGAUAAUUUGAAAUAAUAAAGCCUAUUUACUCUGGAAACUGACUGUACUCAGGGACAGGAGCAGUAAAAAAUGAAGAACUACAGUUUUGAAUGCUUCCUAACACCAUUUGUACAGUGUGUCAUGUUGUUCUAUGAGUUCUGUUCAUCUGUGAUGUAGAGGAUCUCAUCUCAUCAAAGCUUUACAAGUACUGCAAGUUUGACAUAUGGAAGAAUUACCAACACGCAUUUCAAAGGUUGAUUUUCCAGGAUAUACAUAAACUACUAUGGAACCAAAGGAAAAAAAUGUGGAUACUGUUUGUGGAUACUGGUGUCUGUAUAUUUCAUCUACAUCUGCAAAUGAAUACAGCACUCAAAUAAUAAUAAUUAAAAAAAAAAAAACUACUAAAAAUUAAGAAAAGUUGGAUAUGUUAGGAAACAGUGAUAUGUGAAGAAAAGCCAUCUUACUAUAAGAACUUGGUUACAGAAGAUGAAUGUGAAGAGGAACAAUCCUAGUGAAAGUGACAGAUUCUGAACCAGUAGAGUUAAAUUGUUUCAUUUUAAAUUAUCAUUAUUAAUUAUCAUCAUUAUAAAAAGACUGUUGGAUUCCUCAUGUCUGUGUCUCCAGUCCACAACAGAGAUUCGAAAAUGUUAUCACAUUAGUUUGAGAUAUAUCGAGUUUUCAAUUUUAUUUUGUUUCUCUCAGUACAGCCUACUGAACAGGUUGUGCUGGAUUAUUAAAUUGGUAGUAAAUAUAAAUACAGUACUAGUUUCUGAUUAUUGCUAAUCUUCAUGUUAUUUUGACUGGAACACUAUGCUUCUAGAGUACACUCCUGUUUCUUUUUGUUUACCUUCCUUUGUCCUCAUUUGUAUAAAUAAUAGCUAAAUAAUCACAGAAGUUACAUUCACUUAUUUCUGAAACAUAAUAUCUCUAUUGCCUCCUCAUCCAGAUCUGAGGCAGACUGAGUUAAUGAGACAUUUACUUCAGUCCUGUUUUUCUCCUGUGAAUCUAAAUGGUAACUGUUAUAGAUCUGUUUACUUCCUUUCUUUUUUUACCAGUGGCUCACCUUUGACAUAUCUUUUGAGUUAUACCACUUGUCUUUGGACUCCUCCAUGUUGCUGUUCAUUUGGAAAUCUCACUUAUUUUUAAAGCCUUAUUUUGGCAGCUUUCUUGCUUUUAAAAGAAUUAGCUACAUGGGAAAUCGAUCCAACUAACACUUAUUUUGCGCUCACUGAAAUGCUUCUGUGACAGACAGGUGACAUUGUGCAGCUGUAUUUUAUGCUGGUUUUGUGUUUGUUUUUAUCUACUUAAAGUCAUUCCUCCUUCAGAUUAGUUAAGUGUUAUGGCCUUUAUAGUGCUCAUUUUCAGGUAAGAGAAUUUGGUUCAAAUUCUGUCCUAGUUUCAGCUGGGACAGAAUUGCUUUCUUCAGAGCGUCUGGUAUGAUGCUAUGUUUUGGUUCUAGAAGAACAGUAUUGAUAACACCCCGUUGUCCAUACUCACUUGGGAGGUUAUCUGGACAUCAGUCAUGGAGUGGUGAGCAAUUGCUUGUGCAUCGCUGGUUAUAUACACGUAUAUAUAUAGUCAUAAUUAUUGUCCUCCUUUUCUCUAUCUUAGUAAAUAUUUUUAUCUCAACUCAUGCGCUCUACUUUUUUCUUUCAAUUCCCUCCCCCAACCCAGUAGGAAAGGGGGACUGAGUGAAUGACUGUGACUGUGAAUUACUGUGGUACUCAACCACAUGCCAGGUUAAACCACAACAACUUCUUGUUUUAAUUGAUCAGAGGGUCAAAUCCAGUAUCACUCACAUAGAAAAAUUUCGUUGAUAAUGAACAAGAUUGGGUGGUUCUGUAUUUCUUUCUUUCACCAUCCAUUCUCAAUACACACAAAUGUACGUAUAUAUAUAUAUAUAAUAGAUGCAAAGAAACCUUGAAAUGAGUUUCUCAAAAAUAUUUUAAAAUGUAAGUACAUACUAUAGCUGUAGGAGGUGCUCAUAAGAGGUUUCUCAUUGCUACUGGAAUUCAAGAUUUAUAGAUCUGUCAUUUUGCAAUGUUUGAUUUAUCUGCUCUUCAAAAGUUGUUCAUUAUUAAAAAAAAAAGAAAAGAAGUCUAAGUUUUCUAAGUGAAGAUUUACUCAGUCAACAGUACUACUAGCUGUAUGAAUCAUUCUUUGUUUUCUGGCUCAAAGCUUGCUUCCUGAGGUAUUUCUUAUGAUAAGACUCUAGGAGAUGAGAGAUGGGUGCUGCUGUGUGGCAAUCAAUAUCACUAUUUGGACAAUUUACAUUUGAAAGCAUUUCUUUGGAGCUGUUUGCCUUCAGCCCAAGAGUCAAAGGAAUGCUCAGGACUGUUUACUGGACUGUUUACUGGCAGAAGAUCUGUCCUGUGACCAAAGUCUGCUAUGGGAGAUUGGAGGAUGAUACCAUCAUAUCUUGUGAAGGCAAGAUACUAGUUGGCAUCUCCAUACUCCCUCUUAUCUGCUGGCAAGGCCAGGGAGAUAGGAACAAAAGGAAUUCCUGCUGAGAUCCAAAAGCCAGAAACUGUCAUUCCAAAAGGCUGACUCAACCACUGUGGACUUAUAAAUAAGUUUGUGCUGUCAUCAUCGUCAUCAUCGCCAUCGCCGUCGUCGUCGCGGUGGUCACUGUCCUCAUCAACGCAACAACACCCAAUGGCCCACGUCUACUUAAGAGCAAUGACUGAACCAUGAACCACGGUAGACCCAUGGUGGUGACUAUCUCCCUCUUGCUUCCUAUAGAGACUCCUUGCUCCUAUUUCCUAUCUUUUCUGCUGCCCUUCUUCCCUUCCCCAUCACACUAAUCUAUACCUAUAAAGACUCCUUGAUUCUAUUUUCUAUCUUUUCUAUUGCCUUUCUUCCCUUCCCCAUUACCCCAGUCUGUAAUAGUUUCCAUCCUCCCCUUUCUUCAUCUUCCUUAUUAACAUUUGUAAUAAACUGGUCGGACCAACAUUUGAACCGUUGUUUCUUAAUCUCACACUGGGUAUACAUACAUCAGAGAACCUCCUCUCCC